This 577-nucleotide long non-coding RNA is filed under the name Glycine max (soybean). RNAcentral's name for it is "long non-coding RNA (GMAX_LNC003984)". Lineage: Eukaryota; Viridiplantae; Streptophyta; Magnoliopsida; Fabales; Fabaceae. The record is from RNAcentral.
CAGAAGGCAUGUGAUCAACCAAAUAUCUUUGUCCACAUCAAGUCAUACUCAAAUCAACAACUUCAAUAUAGUUGACGAUUAUCCAAAUCCAAAAGACACAAAAAGAAGAAACAACAACAUUAUAUAUAGCAUUAAUUCCUUCCUUGGCCCAUAACUAGCGUAUUUACAUGAAAUUCUGAUUGGCACAAACAACAUAUUCCAUGAAGAUUCCUAUCAUCGAUCCAUACUCAAAUAAUUGUCACUACAAUGCUCGCCAGCUCUUAAUUUAUAACUCCAUCACUCACUAAUCUCUUACAAUUUAAUUACAAAAGCUACCAUAAGACUAAACUAGCAAUUAACAACACCAAAAAGUAGACACCCCCUAAAUCUCUCUAACGUUCUCCUUCCAACAACGUGGGGUUUCUCGAAAACACCCCAUGCACAUUUCCUCUUCUCAUAAUAAAAGAGAAAAUAAACUUAGAAAAAAAUGUAAAAGCUUGAAAUUAAUUCUAACUAGCUUGUAGCUACUUCUAACUUUAACAAAUGUGCACCCAACCCAAUUUUAACGGUUCUAGUGAGUGGGGGGGGGGGGGGGGGG